AGCGGCGGACGGGUGAGUAACGCGUGAGAAUCUACCCAUGAGUGGGGGACAACCCGGGGAAACUCGGGCUAAUACCGCAUACGCCCUACGGGGUAAAGCAGGGGACCUUCGGGCCUUGCGCUGAUGGAUGAGCUCGCGUCGGAUUAGCUUGUUGGUGAGGUAAAGGCUCACCAAGGCGACGAUCCGUAGCUGGUCUGAGAGGAUGAUCAGCCACACCGGGACUGAGACACGGCCCGGACUCCUACGGGAGGCAGCAGUGGGGAAUCUUGGACAAUGGGGGCAACCCUGAUCCAGCCAUGCCGCGUGUGUGAAGAAGGCCUUCGGGUUGUAAAGCACUUUCAGUAGGGAGGAAGGCUUACCCCUAAUACGGGUGAGUACUUGACGUUACCUACAGAAGAAGCACCGGUUAAUUUCGUGCCAGCAGCCGCGGUAAUACGAAAGGUGCAAGCGUUAAUCGGAAUUACUGGGCGUAAAGCGCGCGUAGGCGGUGUGUUAAGUCGGAUGUGAAAGCCCAGGGCUCAACCUUGGAAUUGCAUCCGAUACUGGCACGCUAGAGUGCAGUAGAGGGAGGUGGAAUUUCCGGUGUAGCGGUGAAAUGCGUAGAGAUCGGAAGGAACACCAGUGGCGAAGGCGGCCUCCUGGACUAACACUGACGCUGAGGUGCGAAAGCGUGGGAGCAAACAGGAUUAGAUACCCUGGU
RNAcentral lists this ribosomal RNA (700 nucleotides) under uncultured Gammaproteobacteria bacterium. Its description in RNAcentral is "bacterial SSU rRNA". It matches the Rfam family "Bacterial small subunit ribosomal RNA", at positions 94 to 791 of the family's 1533-position model. Lineage: Bacteria; Pseudomonadati; Pseudomonadota; Gammaproteobacteria. The record is from RNAcentral.